Onychostoma macrolepis is the source of this 1189-nucleotide long non-coding RNA. RefSeq lists it as uncharacterized. The transcript has 5 exons. The record is from RefSeq and is a predicted model, not a curated record. Lineage: Eukaryota; Metazoa; Chordata; Actinopteri; Cypriniformes; Cyprinidae.
CACCGGGACCCGAUGAAGAAACCGCCCCAGCUCUGAGUCUCACUCGCUUCUUGCUUCGGUAUCCCACGCUGAACCGCAUCAUAUCGCCGGGAUGAUAAUCUUCCGGUAUAUAGUGAUCGCUAAAUUACACACCACCGCGUUGUUUGAAGCAGAUGCAUUAAGUCUCUUCAGCUGCACAAACGCACCGAGGCCCGGAAGAUACCGUCCUAUUUCUUGUCAGGAAACCUUGUGGACUCGAUGUCCUGACAGGCUGGAGUUUGUGCAACCUCCACAAACACAAUAAUUUACCAUGACGAUGAUAAACCGAAAAAAAUAACUACCUAAAACACACGGACUCGCGCGCGCUCCACUGAACACCAGCAGCGCGCGCGCACACGACUCCCUCUCGUGACGUAAUGUGACGCGAUGUUGAUGAUUUUACGUUUAAAAUAAUUUUUGGAAUGUGUUUACAAUUUAUGUUGUAUGUGUGUGUAUAUAUAUAAACACCUAUAUAUAUAUAUAUACUUUUAGCUUCUUUCAUUUUGGUUGGUUGACAGAUGCUCUCUCCUUCAUUCCCGCCGAGGCCUGGUUUUACUGCGAGUCUGAAGCUACUCAGAGGAGAGAAUUCAUCAAAUGAAUUGGCCCAGACGUCUGCAGUGUCAAGUGAAGGAAGCUCCUCUCAUAAGAUUGCAGACCUGGAGUCUGAUGACACCGAGCGAGUGAUGGAGGGAGCAGAAUGAUGAAGAUGAAGCCAGAAUUAAGCCAAGUUCCUGGCUUUUCCCAAGACCUUCAAGGACACGAUUGACCUCGGAAUCAGCUGUAAAGGAGGAUGAAACCGAUGUUUAAGAACGGGACAGCGAUUAUUGCAUCAAUUUGUCUCCUUCAUUUGGUUCCACCAUCACCACAAGGCUGCAAGGGACCUGGAGAAAUGUCCUCCUAUCAAACUGAAAAACAUCUUCGAAAAGGCACUAACCAGAAGAACACCUUGUAGAGACCACACAGCCGUACCUGCUCGCUGAUGGGACAACGAGGAACAGCGUUCAUGGACGCUACACAACAGUCGACAAGUAUCUUGCUGCAGUCUUGUUCAAAUCUACCUGUCAUAUUUGUUCGUGUUUUAUUAACUAUUUUAUGUUUCCGUGCAACACUUAACGAAUGUGACUGACUAAUUAACCUCUGCACAUCUGGUAUAUGCUUUAAAGUUGCCACU